AGUUAUGCCAGCACUGUGGUAUUCAGUGCCUCGACCCACACCUCUGCCAGCGACUCCUGGACACUCACAGGCAAGUCUGACUCAGUCUCUUAUGGGGUCAGUGCUCCCUUCUCCUGGCUCCUGGUGUGCACAGUUUUGUUUGUGUCCUCCAAGAAUCUGUUUCUCCAGACAGGUGGAAGUGCUGUAAUCAAAUGCCACUGGCCUCCAAAGCCAAAUCCCUGGGGGAUCUCAGCCUCUUUGCCAGAUGCCCAAGUUGGGAAAUCUGUUGUACAUCCUAGAACUUUCAUAACAGUGAUCUAACACAAUGUUUGGACUUGUGCUUAUCAACAAAGCUCUGAUUGACAUAAGAAACAGUUUGGUACUAUUUUCCAUAUCUUCCCUAAAGACCACUCUUAAAAAGACAUUUUGAAAAUAGCCAUUUUGGUAAGUACUAC
This is a long non-coding RNA of Bubalus bubalis (water buffalo), 434 nucleotides long. RefSeq lists it as uncharacterized. Lineage: Eukaryota; Metazoa; Chordata; Mammalia; Artiodactyla; Bovidae. The transcript is spliced from 2 exons. The record is from RefSeq and is a predicted model, not a curated record.